This 77-nucleotide transfer RNA is filed under the name Achromobacter anxifer. RNAcentral's name for it is "tRNA-Asp". It matches the Rfam family "tRNA". Rfam says of the family: Transfer RNA (tRNA) molecules are approximately 80 nucleotides in length. Their secondary structure includes four short double-helical elements and three loops (D, anti-codon, and T loops). Further hydrogen bonds mediate the characteristic L-shaped molecular structure. tRNAs have two regions of fundamental functional importance: the anti-codon, which is responsible for specific mRNA codon recognition, and the 3' end, to which the tRNAs corresponding amino acid is attached (by aminoacyl-tRNA synthetases). tRNAs cope with the degeneracy of the genetic code in two manners: having more than one tRNA (with a specific anti-codon) for a particular amino acid; and 'wobble' base-pairing, i.e. permitting non-standard base-pairing at the 3rd anti-codon position. Lineage: Bacteria; Pseudomonadati; Pseudomonadota; Betaproteobacteria; Burkholderiales; Alcaligenaceae. The record is from RNAcentral.
GCGGUAGUAGCUCAGUUGGUUAGAGCGCAUGCCUGUCACGCAUGAGGCCAGGGGUUCAAGCCCCCUCUAUCGCGCCA